UAGGGAAUCUUCGGCAAUGGACGAAAGUCUGACCGAGCAACGCCGCGUGAGUGAAGAAGGUUCUCGGAUCGUAAAACUCUGUUGGUAGAGAAGAACGUUGGUGAGAGUGGAAAGCUCAUCAAGUGACGGUAACUACCCAGAAAGGGACGGCUAACUACGUGCCAA
This 165-nucleotide ribosomal RNA is filed under the name uncultured bacterium. RNAcentral's name for it is "partial 16S rRNA". It matches the Rfam family "Bacterial small subunit ribosomal RNA", at positions 355 to 511 of the family's 1533-position model. The record is from RNAcentral.